UCUGCCCUUUGGCGGGGGACAACGGCUCGAAAGGGCUGCUAAUACCGCAUAAGUCUAUCGACCCCCUGGGGACGAUAGGGAAAGAUGGCCUCUUCUUGAAAGCUAUCACCGAAGGAUGAGUCCGCGUAGCAUCAGCUUGUUGGUGGGGUAAUGGCCUACCAAGGCAAAGACGCUUAGCUGGUCUGAGAGGAUGAUCAGCCACACUGGGACUGAGAUACGGCCCAG
RNAcentral lists this ribosomal RNA (225 nucleotides) under uncultured bacterium. RNAcentral describes it as "partial 16S ribosomal RNA". It matches the Rfam family "Bacterial small subunit ribosomal RNA", at positions 125 to 334 of the family's 1533-position model. The record is from RNAcentral.